RNAcentral lists this ribosomal RNA (468 nucleotides) under uncultured bacterium. Its description in RNAcentral is "partial 16S ribosomal RNA". It matches the Rfam family "Bacterial small subunit ribosomal RNA", at positions 28 to 507 of the family's 1533-position model. The record is from RNAcentral.
GACGAACGCUGGCGGCGUGCUUAACACAUGCAAGUCGAACGGAAAGGCCCUGCUUUUGUGGGGUGCUCGAGUGGCGAACGGGUGAGUAACACGUGAGUAACCUGCCCUUGACUUUGGGAUAACUUCAGGAAACUGGGGCUAAUACCGGAUAUGAGCUCCUGCUGCAUGGUGGGGGUUGGAAAGUUUCGGCGGUUGGGGAUGGACUCGCGGCUUAUCAGCUUGUUGGUGGGGUAGUGGCUUACCAAGGCUUUGACGGGUAGCCGGCCUGAGAGGGUGACCGGCCACAUUGGGACUGAGAUACGGCCCAGACGCCUACGGGAGGCAGGAGUGGGGAAUAUUGCACAAUGGGCGGAAGCCUGAUGCAGCAACGCCGCGUGCGGGAUGACGGCCUUCGGGUUGUAAACCGCUUUCGCCUGUGACGAAGCGUGAGUGACGGUAAUGGGUAAAGAAGCACCGGCUAACUACGUG